RNAcentral lists this unclassified non-coding RNA (506 nucleotides) under Homo sapiens (human). Its description in RNAcentral is "major histocompatibility complex, class II, DM alpha (ENSG00000242361.7)". The record is from RNAcentral. Lineage: Eukaryota; Metazoa; Chordata; Mammalia; Primates; Hominidae.
GGUUUCCUAUCGCUGAAGUGUUCACGCUGAAGCCCCUGGAGUUUGGCAAGCCCAACACUUUGGUCUGUUUUGUCAGUAAUCUCUUCCCACCCAUGCUGACAGUGAACUGGCAGCAUCAUUCCGUCCCUGUGGAAGGAUUUGGGCCUACUUUUGUCUCAGCUGUCGAUGGACUCAGCUUCCAGGCCUUUUCUUACUUAAACUUCACACCAGAACCUUCUGACAUUUUCUCCUGCAUUGUGACUCACGAAAUUGACCGCUACACAGCAAUUGCCUAUUGGGUACCCCGGAACGCACUGCCCUCAGAUCUGCUGGAGAAUGUGCUGUGUGGCGUGGCCUUUGGCCUGGGUGUGCUGGGCAUCAUCGUGGGCAUUGUUCUCAUCAUCUACUUCCGGAAGCCUUGCUCAGGUGACUGAUUCUUCCAGACCAGAGUUUGAUGCCAGCAGCUUCGGCCAUCCAAACAGAGGAUGCUCAGAUUUCUCACAUCCUGCCCAGGAUCUCCUCUUAGG